GACGGAGGGUGCAAGCGUUAUUCGGAAUCAUUGGGCGUAAAGAGCGUGUAGGCGGCCGGGCAAGUCAGAGGUGAAAGCCCAGGGCUCAACCCUGGAAGUGCCUUUGAAACUGCUUGGCUUGAGUUCGGGAGAGGGAAGUGGAAUUCCUGGUGUAGAGGUGAAAUUCGUAGAUAUCAGGAGGAACACCGGUGGCGAAGGCGACUUCCUGGACCGAAACUGACGCUGAGACGCGAAAGCGUGGGGAGCAAACAGG
Molecule: ribosomal RNA, 253 nt
Filed under: uncultured bacterium
Lineage: Bacteria
Description: partial 16S ribosomal RNA
Rfam family: Bacterial small subunit ribosomal RNA
Source: RNAcentral